CAACAGUAAACGUUACUUGAACAACUAGGCAAUCUGGAAUAUUUAUGAAUCAAGAAACAGAUUUCCCAACAUCUAAGGAAAUGUGUCUGAACUACUUGCGUCUAAUGGACAUUGCUGUGACUAGAAGAAACAAGUUUUUUUCAGUCUUGGUCUGUCCUGUGUUUUGUGAUAAUCACACCGGAGGAAAUAUUGCAUCAUUUCUUAAUGCAUGCAUUACUAAAUGACAAUAAAAAAGGACUGCGUGUCUUCAUAAUCUAAUAUAGGCUUCGAGUUCUUGUAGAAGUUUAUCCCGAUUUUCAUCUGCCUCCUGGAGCUGCUCGUCAGCAAGAGCCUGUAACUCUUGCAUGUUUCUCAGUCGCUCCUGGAGACCUGCUAUCUUAUUCUUC
Long non-coding RNA from Mobula hypostoma (lesser devil ray), 386 nucleotides. RefSeq lists it as uncharacterized. The record is from RefSeq and is a predicted model, not a curated record. NCBI's taxonomy places the organism in Eukaryota, Metazoa, Chordata, Chondrichthyes, Myliobatiformes, Myliobatidae. The transcript has 4 exons.